This 440-nucleotide ribosomal RNA is filed under the name uncultured bacterium. RNAcentral's name for it is "partial 16S ribosomal RNA". It matches the Rfam family "Bacterial small subunit ribosomal RNA", at positions 338 to 795 of the family's 1533-position model. The record is from RNAcentral.
CCUACGGGAGGCAGCAGUGGGGAAUAUUGCACAAUGGGGGGAACCCUGAUGCAGCAACGCCGCGUGGGUGAAGAAGUACUUCGGUAUGUAAAGCCCUGUCAGCAGGGAAGAAAAUGACGGUACCUGAGUAAGAAGCCCCGGCUAACUACGUGCCAGCAGCCGCGGUAAUACGUAGGGGGCAAGCGUUAUCCGGAUUUACUGGGUGUAAAGGGAGCGUAGACGGCAGUGCAAGUCUGGAGUGAAAGGCGGGGGCUCAACCCCCGGACUGCUCUGGAAACUGUACGGCUGGAGUGCAGGAGAGGUAAGUGGAAUUCCUAGUGUAGCGGUGAAAUGCGUAGAUAUUAGGAGGAACACCAGUGGCGAAGGCGGCUUACUGGACUGUAACUGACGUUGAGGCUCGAAAGCGUGGGGAGCAAACAGGAUUAGAUACCCCGGUAGUC